AUUGAACGCUGGCGGCAUGCUUUACACAUGCAAGUCGAACGGCAGCGCGGGCUUCGGCCUGGCGGCGAGUGGCGAACGGGUGAGUAAUGCAUCGGAACGUGCCCAGUAGUGGGGGAUAGCCCGGCGAAAGCCGGAUUAAUACCGCAUACGACCUGAGGGUGAAACCGGGGGACCGAAAGGCCUCGCGCUAUUGGAGCGGCCGAUGUCGGAUUAGCUAGUUGGUGGGGUAAAGGCUUACCAAGGCGACGUUCCGUAGCUGGUCUGAGAGGACGACCAGCCACACUGGGACUGAGACACGGCCCAGACUCCUACGGGAGGCAGCAGUGGGGAAUUUUGGACAAUGGGGGCAACCCUGAUCCAGCCAUGCCGCGUGCGGGAAGAAGGCCUUCGGGUUGUAAACCGCUUUUGUUCGGGAAGAAAUCCUCUGGGCUAAUACCCCGGGGGGAUGACGGUACCGGAAGAAUAAGCACCGGCUAACUACGUG
Molecule: ribosomal RNA, 484 nt
Filed under: uncultured bacterium
Lineage: Bacteria
Description: partial 16S ribosomal RNA
Rfam family: Bacterial small subunit ribosomal RNA
Source: RNAcentral